Molecule: ribosomal RNA, 440 nt
Filed under: uncultured bacterium
Lineage: Bacteria
Description: partial 16S ribosomal RNA
Rfam family: Bacterial small subunit ribosomal RNA
Source: RNAcentral
CUACGGGGGGCAGCAGUGAGGAAUAUUGCACAAUGGGGGGAACCCUGAUGCAGCAACGCCGCGUGGAGGAUGACGCAUUUCGGUGUGUAAACUCCUUUUAUAUGUCAAGAAAAUGACGGUAGCAUAUGAAUAAGCACCGGCUAACUCCGUGCCAGCAGCGCGCGGUAAUACGGAGGGUGCAGGCGUUACUCGGAAUCACUGGGCGUAAAGGACGCGUAGGCGGGUUGGAAAGUCAGGUGUGAAAUCCUACAGCUUAACUGUACAACUGCACUUGAAACUUCUAAUCUAGAGUAUGGGAGGGGGAGAUGGAAUUAGUGGUGUAGGGGUAAAAUCCGUAGAUAUCACUAGGAAUACCUAAAGCGAAGGCGAUCUCCUGGAACAUUACUGACGCUAAGGCGUGAAAGCGUGGGGAGCAAACAGGAUUAGAUACCCCCGUAGUC